This 402-nucleotide ribosomal RNA is filed under the name Triticum aestivum (bread wheat). Its description in RNAcentral is "partial small subunit ribosomal RNA". Lineage: Eukaryota; Viridiplantae; Streptophyta; Magnoliopsida; Poales; Poaceae. The record is from RNAcentral.
AUGCUCGACCACCACCAGCCCGUACCGGCCAGCCACAGACCUCCAUCAAACCUCCCUAAAACCUCCACCAAACCAGCACCGCAGAGCACCGAGGGGAGCCUCCCGUCAGCGCCCGCCCCUGCCAAGGCCGUCCCGCGCGCCCGCCCGACCAGAUGUCGGGCCCUGGACGCACACCACCGUCACCGCCAUCGGGCCGACCUCACGCCGUCGCCCUCACCAGGCCUUGGGGCAGGAGGUCACCGCCGCCACGCCGCAGGAACCGCACCACGCGGAGACAACGAACAGGCUGCAGCAGAAAACCCCCGAAGAACGCCCGGCCAGAUCCAGCGUCCGCCAGCCUCCCCGCCGGCCACCGAAGCACCACCGAGGCUCCCGCGCCGCCUAGCCGAGCAGGAACGGUGA